Mesoplodon densirostris (Blainville's beaked whale) is the source of this 619-nucleotide long non-coding RNA. RefSeq lists it as uncharacterized. Lineage: Eukaryota; Metazoa; Chordata; Mammalia; Artiodactyla; Ziphiidae. The record is from RefSeq and is a predicted model, not a curated record. The transcript has 3 exons.
ACUGGAGAGAAAGGCCGGAACCUGGGGAGCGCCCCCAGCCCCAGCCCGCCUCCCUGCGUUACUUUGGCCAAGUUUAGGGCAGAGCUGGUAGCGCAGUUCGGGGGAAAGAGGGAGAAAUCCGAGCUUCCUCGCAGCUGGAAGGCUCUCCGCGCUGCGCCCGCCCUUACGGGUUUCCAGCUCCCCCUCCUCUCCUGCCCUUCUUCUCCCCGGUUCUUCUCUUCCCUUCCGUAUCCUCUUCUGGAAAUGGAAGUCACAAUAGGACCUCUUUCCUUGGGUUGUUGUAAGGCCUGAAAGUGGCAUACCUGCGCAGUGCCUGGUACAUGAAGGAAUGACUUGGGAUGUCCAUGCCUGGGGGCAAAUCUGAUCCCCAACCUCAAGGCAGCCCAGUAGAACUUGGAGUUGUAACAGAAGAGCUGAUGGAGAAGAAUAUGUGGUCUCUGGUCAAAAAGGAUGGAGAUCUAAAGGAAAAUGUGACCUAAAUUCAUAGAGUCGUGAUGGGAAUGGAUCAAAUAUGAAGGUGAUUCAACCAGCGAAAACUGCUUUUGGUUGGUGGGUCAGUUUCACAGAUGAUAAGGGUUUUACUAACUUCCAUUUAAUAACCAUUUCCUUUGAAAACAAA